GGGACGGGCGGGAGAGCGGGGAAACCGGGAGCGAAAGCAGAAAAGGGUGCAGCCACGGCGGGGACGCGGGGAGGCCGUGUGAGCAAAGGCGCGCAGGAAGCAGAGACGUGGGAGAGGUGGAGUUUGACGUUCUUUACGCUGGGGAACAAGUCUCCGUGAAUUUAGGGCUGCUUGCUUCUACGCAAGAGAGAUUCUCCAUUGCAAUUUGCCAUGCACUUUGAAGUCCCCUGUGAACAAGGCUAAUACAGUACCACACAAGGGACAAUGCAAUCUUUUACAUGUCUACUCAGAAGAAAGUCUCACUGAAUGCAGUGGAACUUACUUCCAAGUAACUGAAUAAAUGAUUGCAGCUUUAGAUAACAAAGUGCUGGAAAUGUGUCUUUCAAAUUUCUUUUCUUCAUGCAUAUCCUUUCAGAGCAUAGUAGG
Candoia aspera is the source of this 426-nucleotide long non-coding RNA. RefSeq lists it as uncharacterized. The record is from RefSeq and is a predicted model, not a curated record. NCBI's taxonomy places the organism in Eukaryota, Metazoa, Chordata, Lepidosauria, Squamata, Candoiidae. The transcript has 2 exons.